Molecule: unclassified non-coding RNA, 253 nt
Filed under: Hevea brasiliensis (rubber tree)
Lineage: Eukaryota; Viridiplantae; Streptophyta; Magnoliopsida; Malpighiales; Euphorbiaceae
Source: RNAcentral
UGUUGCCUUGCUUGCCAUUGGGUAGAAGGAUUUGAAGUUGUGAAUUUUCAAUUUGAUAAUUUAUGGGUUCUCUUUGAUUGAUUAAAUUUAUGAAUCUAAGUUCAGAAUGUGAAUAAAAACUUCUUUUUGAAUGUGGAUUUGGCAUACUUAGAAAUGGUUCAUUUCAAGUCUACCUCAAAUAAGUUCAAACAUAUUUAUGAAUAUAAUUAUCAUCCAUGAAUAUAAUUAUCAUCCAUGAAUAUAAUUAUCAUCC